UGACAUCUGUUCCCUGAGAGGUGACAUGGGAAGUCCUGCACUGUGAGUCCAUUGAGUAGGACACACCCAGGCCUCUUCUUUUCUCCAGGAUAUGUGCAAGAUGAGAGCCAGCCAUCGUCUCCUGAUGGUGGAGAUUUGAUCUGAAGCAUUCAAAUAGGAAUUGAAUGCUCAGAGGAAGCUUCAAAUUUCUUUCUACUUGAAGAAGCUGAAUUGCAGAAGCUAUCUCUGUCCUGUUAAUCACCGGGUCCACAGUGAAACCAGCCAACUUCAGAGAAGACUCUUGUGCUGCGUGACCCCUGACCGUAACCAAGUGUCCUUCUCUCUGAGACGUUCCCUCGGAGCUUGUUCUGACAGCCCUCACCUCCAGUGACGUCCACGAACUUUUCCACACGAGGGGUUCUCUGCUUCCCUCCAUCUGAGCUGCGCAAUUCCACCAGGCCUUU
RNAcentral lists this long non-coding RNA (443 nucleotides) under Mus spretus (western wild mouse). Its description in RNAcentral is "lncRNA (ENSMSPG00010000910.1)". Lineage: Eukaryota; Metazoa; Chordata; Mammalia; Rodentia; Muridae. The record is from RNAcentral.